This 495-nucleotide ribosomal RNA is filed under the name uncultured bacterium. Its description in RNAcentral is "partial 16S ribosomal RNA". It matches the Rfam family "Bacterial small subunit ribosomal RNA", at positions 28 to 507 of the family's 1533-position model. The record is from RNAcentral.
GACGAACGCUGGCGGCGUGCCUAAUACAUGCAAGUAGAACGCUGAAGGAGGAGCUUGCUUCUCUGGAUGAGUUGCGAACGGGUGAGUAACGCGUAGGUAACCUGCCUGGUAGCGGGGGAUAACUAUUGGAAACGAUAGCUAAUACCGCAUAAUAGUAGAUGUUGCAUGACAUUUGCCUAAAAGGUGCAAUUGCAUCACUAACAGAUGGACCUGCGUUGUAUUAGCUAGUUGGUGGGGUAACGGCUCACCAAGGCGACGAUACAUAGCCGACCUGAGAGGGUGAUCGGCCACACUGGGACUGAGACACGGCCCAGACUCCUACGGGAGGCAGCAGUAGGGAAUCUUCGGCAAUGGACGGAAGUCUGACCGAGCAACGCCGCGUGAGUGAAGAAGGUUUUCGGAUCGUAAAGCUCUGUUGUAAGAGAAGAACGAGUGUGAGAGUGGAAAGUUCACACUGUGACGGUAUCUUACCAGAAAGGGACGGCUAACUACGUG